AUUGAACGCUGGCGGCAUGCCUUACACAUGCAAGUCGAACGGCAGCGGGCCUUCGGGUGCCGGCGAGUGGCGAACGGGUGAGUAAUGCAUCGGAACGUGCCAUUGAGUGGGGGAUAACGUAGCGAAAGUUGCGCUAAUACCGCAUAUUCUGUGAGCAGGAAAGCAGGGGACCGCAAGGCCUUGCGCUCUUUGAGCGGCCGAUGUCAGAUUAGCUAGUUGGUGAGGUAAAGGCUUACCAAGGCGACGAUCUGUAGCGGGUCUGAGAGGAUGAUCCGCCACACUGGAACUGAGACACGGUCCAGACUCCUACGGGAGGCAGCAGUGGGGAAUUUUGGACAAUGGGGGCAACCCUGAUCCAGCCAUGCCGCGUGAGUGAAGAAGGCCUUCGGGUUGUAAAGCUCUUUCGGCCCGGGAAGGAAAUCGCAUGGGUGAAUACCCUGUGUGGAUGACGGUACCGGAACAAGAAGCACCGGCUAACUACGUGCCAGCAGCCGCGGUAA
RNAcentral lists this ribosomal RNA (500 nucleotides) under uncultured bacterium. Its description in RNAcentral is "bacterial SSU rRNA". It matches the Rfam family "Bacterial small subunit ribosomal RNA", at positions 30 to 523 of the family's 1533-position model. The record is from RNAcentral.